UCUUGACAUCCACAGAACUUUCCAGAGAUGGAUUGGUGCCUUCGGGAACUGUGAGACAGGUGCUGCAUGGCUGUCGUCAGCUCGUGUUGUGAAAUGUUGGGUUAAGUCCCGCAACGAGCGCAACCCUUAUCCUUUGUUGCCAGCGGUCCGGCCGGGAACUCAAAGGAGACUGCCAGUGAUAAACUGGAGGAAGGUGGGGAUGACGUCAAGUCAUCAUGGCCCUUACGACCAGGGCUACACACGUGCUACAAUGGCGCAUACAAAGAGAAGCGACCUCGCGAGAGCAAGCGGACCUCAUAAAGUGCGUCGUAGUCCGGAUUGGAGUCUGCAACUCGACUCCAUGAAGUCGGAAUCGCUAGUAAUCGUGGAUCAGAAUGCCACGGUGAAUACGUUCCCGGGCCUUGUACACACCGCCCGUCACACCAUGGGAGUGGGUUGCAAAAGAAGUAGGUAGCUUAACCUUCGGGAGGGCGCUUACCACUUUGUGAUUCAUGACUGGGGUGAAGUCGUAACAAGGUAACCGUAGGGGAACCUGCGGUUGGAUCACCUCCUUA
This 554-nucleotide ribosomal RNA is filed under the name Escherichia coli. RNAcentral's name for it is "bacterial SSU rRNA". It matches the Rfam family "Bacterial small subunit ribosomal RNA", at positions 979 to 1533 of the family's 1533-position model. Lineage: Bacteria; Pseudomonadati; Pseudomonadota; Gammaproteobacteria; Enterobacterales; Enterobacteriaceae. The record is from RNAcentral.